RNAcentral lists this ribosomal RNA (433 nucleotides) under uncultured bacterium. Its description in RNAcentral is "partial 16S ribosomal RNA". It matches the Rfam family "Bacterial small subunit ribosomal RNA", at positions 29 to 507 of the family's 1533-position model. The record is from RNAcentral.
AACGAACGCUGGCGGCAUGCCUAACACAUGCCAGUCGAACGAGACCUUCGGGUCUAGUGGCGCACGGGUGCGUAACGCGUGGGAACCUGCCCUUAAGUUCGGAAUAACUCCCCGAAAGGGGUGCUAAUACCGGAUAAUGUCUUCGGACCAAAGAUUUAUCGCCUUUGGAUGGGCCCGCGUUGGAUUAGCUAGUUGGUAGGGUAAAAGCCUACCAAGGCGACGAUCCAUAGCUGGUCUGAGAGGUUGAUCAGCCACACUGGGACUGAGACACGGCCCAGACUCCUACGGGAGGCAGCAGUGGGGAAUAUUGGACAAUGGGCGAAAGCCUGAUCCAGCAAUGCCGCGUGAGUGAUGAAGGCCUUAGGGUUGUAAAGCUCUUUUACCCGGGAUGAUAAUGACAGUACCGGGAGAAUAAGCUCCGGCUAACUCCGUG